RNAcentral lists this ribosomal RNA (253 nucleotides) under uncultured bacterium. Its description in RNAcentral is "partial 16S ribosomal RNA". It matches the Rfam family "Bacterial small subunit ribosomal RNA", at positions 524 to 776 of the family's 1533-position model. The record is from RNAcentral.
UACAGAGGGUGCAAGCGUUGUUCGGAAUCACUGGGCGUAAAGCGCACGUAGGCGGAUUGCUAAGUCAGGGGUGAAAUCCUGGAGCUCAACUCCAGAACUGCCUUUGAUACUGGCAACCUUGAGUCCGGGAGAGGUGAGUGGAACUGCGAGUGUAGAGGUGAAAUUCGUAGAUAUUCGCAAGAACACCAGUGGCGAAGGCGGCUCACUGGCCCGGUACUGACGCUGAGGUGCGAAAGCGUGGGGAGCAAACAGG